AGUGAACGCUGGCGGUAGGCCUAACACAUGCAAGUCGAACGGCAGCACAGUAAGAGCUUGCUCUUACGGGUGGCGAGUGGCGGACGGGUGAGGAAUACAUCGGAAUCUACUUUUUCGUGGGGGAUAACGUAGGGAAACUUACGCUAAUACCGCAUACGACCUACGGGUGAAAGCAGGGGAUCUUCGGACCUUGCGCGAUUGAAUGAGCCGAUGUCGGAUUAGCUAGUUGGCGGGGUAAAGGCCCACCAAGGCGACGAUCCGUAGCUGGUCUGAGAGGAUGAUCAGCCACACUGGAACUGAGACACGGUCCAGACUCCUGCGGGAGGCAGUAGUGGGGAAUAUUGGACAAUGGGCGCAAGCCUGAUCCAGCCAUACCGCGUGGGUGAAGAAGGCCUUCGGGUUGUAAAGCCCUUUUGUUGGGAAAGAAAAGCAGCAGGUUAAUACCCCGCUGUUCUGACGGUACCCAAAGAAUAAGCACCGGCUAACUUCGUG
This 492-nucleotide ribosomal RNA is filed under the name uncultured bacterium. RNAcentral's name for it is "partial 16S ribosomal RNA". It matches the Rfam family "Bacterial small subunit ribosomal RNA", at positions 29 to 507 of the family's 1533-position model. The record is from RNAcentral.